This 134-nucleotide ribosomal RNA is filed under the name uncultured bacterium. RNAcentral's name for it is "partial 16S ribosomal RNA". It matches the Rfam family "Bacterial small subunit ribosomal RNA", at positions 355 to 509 of the family's 1533-position model. The record is from RNAcentral.
UGGGGAAUAUUGCACAAUGGGGGAAACCCUGAUGCAGCAACGCCGCGUGAGUGAUGACGGCCUGGUUGUAAGCUCUGUCUUCAGGGACGGAUAAUGACGGUACCUGAGGAGGAAGCCACGGCUAACUACGUGCC